AAAAAAGUGCCGGAUUAAGGGAUUAUUCUGAUAGGAAAAAUUAAGUAAUAAAAUUUAUUACCUUUAUUA
Molecule: transfer RNA, 69 nt
Filed under: Euproctis similis
Lineage: Eukaryota; Metazoa; Arthropoda; Insecta; Lepidoptera; Erebidae
Description: tRNA-Ile
Source: RNAcentral